RNAcentral lists this long non-coding RNA (458 nucleotides) under Gallus gallus (chicken). The record is from RNAcentral. Lineage: Eukaryota; Metazoa; Chordata; Aves; Galliformes; Phasianidae.
UGGCCGUGACUGCUCCCACGGCAGUCAGUGAGCUCCCACUGAUGUUGCCAAUCAGGGAUCUUUUGCGAAGCUUGUUGAUUUUACGAGCUGCCUUGUGAAGGUGAGCAAUGUGACCCCGCAGCCUCCGUCGCUGAUCCAGCAGCGCUACGUGGAAGUGAUGCGUGGGGUCUGGCGUCUGGGGACGGGCAGCGCCGUUCCUCUCCAUGGCCUCUGUCUUCAGUUUCUGGCUGACCUCCCCACAGACGUGUCUUGGUCUGUUUCUGGAGGAGACCAAUUUAUAGCUCCCGUGGACCAAUUGCUGCAAUGGGAAUGCUUUGCCUCAUACUGGGAGUUUGCCAUUUCCUGCUCUCCCUUGUGCAGACGGAUGUGACACACUGGAAAGUGACCUGCAGGACAGCGAGCACACAUCAUGUUCAGGAAACGAUCCCUGCGAAUGAGCAUUGUGUGUUCGCUUUUCC